AACGUCCCAGUUCGGAUUGCAGCCUGCAACUCGGCUGCAUGAAGCUGGAAUCGCUAGUAAUCGCGGAUCAGAAUGCCGCGGUGAAUACGUUCCCGGGUCUUGUACACACCGCCCGUCACACCAUGGGAGUAGGUAAUGCCCGAAGUCGGUGACCUAACCGGAAGGAAGGAGCCGCCGAAGGCAGGACUUAUAACUGGGGUGAAGUCGUAACAAGGUAAC
This 219-nucleotide ribosomal RNA is filed under the name uncultured bacterium. RNAcentral's name for it is "partial 16S ribosomal RNA". It matches the Rfam family "Bacterial small subunit ribosomal RNA", at positions 1282 to 1500 of the family's 1533-position model. The record is from RNAcentral.